GGCACGGGUGAGUAACACGUGGGUAACCUGCCUGUAAGACUGGGAUAACUCCGGGAAACCGGGGCUAAUACCGGAUGCUUGUUUGAACCGCAUGGUUCAAACAUAAAAGGUGGCUUCGGCUACCACUUACAGAUGGACCCGCGGCGCAUUAGCUAGUUGGUGAGGUAAUGGCUCACCAAGGCGACGAUGCGUAGCCGACCUGAGAGGGUGAUCGGCCACACUGGGACUGAGACACGGCCCAGACUCCUACGGGAGGCAGCAGUAGGGAAUCUUCCGCAAUGGACGAAAGUCUGACGGAGCAACGCCGCGUGAGUGAUGAAGGUUUUCGGAUCGUAAAGCUCUGUUGUUAGGGAAGAACAAGUACCGUUCGAAUAGGGCGGUACCUUGACGGUACCUAACCAGAAAGCCACGGCUAACUACGUGCCAGCAGCCGCGGUAAUACGUAGGUGGCAAGCGUUGUCCGGAAUUAUUGGGCGUAAAGGGCUCGCAGGCGGUUUCUUAAGUCUGAUGUGAAAGCCCCCGGCUCAACCGGGGAGGGUCAUUGGAAACUGGGGAACUUGAGUGCAGAAGAGGAGAGUGGAAUUCCACGUGUAGCGGUGAAAUGCGUAGAGAUGUGGAGGAACACCAGUGGCGAAGGCGACUCUCUGGUCUGUAACUGACGCUGAGGAGCGAAAGCGUGGGGAGCGAACAGGAUUAGAUACCCUGGUAGUCCACGCCGUAAACGAUGAGUGCUAAGUGUUAGGGGGUUUCCGCCCCUUAGUGCUGCAGCUAACGCAUUAAGCACUCCGCCUGGGGAGUACGGUCGCAAGACUGAAACUCAAAGGGAAUUUGACGGGGGUCCGCACAGCGUGAGCAUGUGCUUUAAAUUCGAAGCAACGCGUAAGAAACCCUUAACCAAGGUCCUG
Molecule: ribosomal RNA, 905 nt
Filed under: Bacillus sp. (in: firmicutes)
Lineage: Bacteria; Bacillati; Bacillota; Bacilli; Caryophanales; Bacillaceae
Description: bacterial SSU rRNA
Rfam family: Bacterial small subunit ribosomal RNA
Source: RNAcentral